GACGAACGCUGGCGGCGCGCUUAACACAUGCAAGUCGAGCGAAGCGGCGGACGGGUGAGUAACACGUGAGUAACCUGCCUUAGACCUUGGGAUAGCCUCGGGAAACCGGGAUUAAUACCAAAUGGUCUAAGAUGGACUCGCGUCCCAUUCGUGAGUUGGUGGGGUAACGGCCCACCAAGGCGACGAUGGGUAGCCGGCCUGAGAGGGUGAACGGCCACAUUGGAACUGAGAAACCGUCCAAACGCGACGGGGGGCAGCAGGGGGGGAAAUUGCACAAUGGGCGAAAGCCUGAUGCAGCGACGCUGCGUGGGGGAUUAAGGCUUUCGGGUUGUAAAGCUCUUUCGCUAUCGAACGGGUAGGUGGAGAAGAAGCGCCGGCUAACUACGUGCCAGCAGCCGCGGUAAUAC
RNAcentral lists this ribosomal RNA (407 nucleotides) under uncultured bacterium. RNAcentral's name for it is "partial 16S ribosomal RNA". It matches the Rfam family "Bacterial small subunit ribosomal RNA", at positions 28 to 526 of the family's 1533-position model. The record is from RNAcentral.